This 429-nucleotide ribosomal RNA is filed under the name Bacteroidota bacterium. RNAcentral describes it as "Bacteroidetes bacterium partial 16S ribosomal RNA". It matches the Rfam family "Bacterial small subunit ribosomal RNA", at positions 355 to 776 of the family's 1533-position model. Lineage: Bacteria; Pseudomonadati; Bacteroidota. The record is from RNAcentral.
UAGGGAAUCUUCCGCAAUGGACGCAAGUCUGACGGAGCAACGCCGCGUGAGUGAAGAAGGAUUUCGGUUCGUAAAACUCUGUUGUUAGAGAAGAACAGCGCAUAGAGUAACUGUUAUGCGUGUGACGGUAUCUAACCAGAAAGCCACGGCUAACUACGUGCCAGCAGCCGCGGUAAUACGUAGGUGGCAAGCGUUGUCCGGAUUUAUUGGGCGUAAAGCGAGCGCAGGCGGUCAAUUAAGUCUGAUGUGAAAGCCCCCGGCUCAACCGGGGAGGGUCAUUGGAAACUUGUUGACUUGAGUGCAGAAGAGGAGAGUGGAAUUCCAUGUGUAGCGGUGAAAUGCGUAGAUAUAUGGAGGAACACCAGUGGCGAAGGCGACUCUCUGGUCUGUAACUGACGCUGAGGUUCGAAAGCGUGGGUAGCAAACAGG